CAUAGAGGUUAUUUAAAAACUGGUUGAGAAUCAAGAAGGACGGUUAACCUCUUUUAUUUGAUCGAAAGUCAAAGGGUAACUAGGUGCACAUUUUGUGGUCCAAGUUUGCUCUUCUCUCGAAUGGACAAUGGUCGUUUGGAAGUGACUCGAGGAACUGAGGAUGGUAGAAUAUAUAUAUAUAUAUAUAUAUAUAUAUAUAUAUAUGUAUAUGUAUAUAAGUGUCAAAGGUUAACUGGAUUCAUUUGGAGACCAUAGGCUUGCGUAUAAUAUGGUAUGGGCACACACAGCAUCACCCUUCUUUAUUCCGGAUGGACCAGUUUUUCAACAGGCACGUUAGCUAUAGUAAAAUUUUCAACGUGAUUCUGGGACCCGGGCCAGGACCUCGGCACGCGAACUAACAGGUUUCCACGAGAGUUCCUGAAUCUGUCGACGAUGGAAAAUAGAUCGUGAUCUAGAUCAGGUGAAAACUGGUCCACUCUUGGUAUGCUCUUUCAUUUCUUUUGUAAGUAUUGUAGGAUUGUUUAGAGAUCAAAGUUCAUUGUAUUGAAAUACGUGUAUCAUUGAUACACCUUACUUCGUAAAUAACACACGCACGCGAUCAGAUUUAUUUUUAAAUAUAAUACAUAAUUCAAUCGUAAAUUGAUUGUAUAUAAGAAAAAAAAAAAAAA
This is a long non-coding RNA of Vespa mandarinia (Asian giant hornet), 668 nucleotides long. The record is from RefSeq and is a predicted model, not a curated record. NCBI's taxonomy places the organism in Eukaryota, Metazoa, Arthropoda, Insecta, Hymenoptera, Vespidae.